Long non-coding RNA from Pyrgilauda ruficollis (rufous-necked snowfinch), 1395 nucleotides. RefSeq lists it as uncharacterized. NCBI's taxonomy places the organism in Eukaryota, Metazoa, Chordata, Aves, Passeriformes, Passeridae. The record is from RefSeq and is a predicted model, not a curated record. The transcript has 3 exons.
GAGGGAGAGCCGAGGGCGUGUGAGGGGGGACCUGAGGGCCGGGAACCGAGGCCGUGUGAGGGGCACCCGGCGGCUUCCCAGCCUGUCGGUGUCACAGCACGGGUUAGCCCAGUGAGGCCUCUGGUGCCACCUCCCCGCUGCAGCAGGGCCAUCCCCGAGCACAGGACACAAGAUUCUGUCAGCAGGGUCUGCAAUAUCCCCAGCGAGGGAGACUCCGCAGCCCGUGGGGACAAUCUGCUCCUGGCCAUGGCGUUGCUGAGCCGCCUCUCCUCUCUGUGCCCCGUCCAGGCGAGACCCCGGCGCACUUGGGCGGCACCGCCGCGUUCGGGGAUAACGUGGAGGAUGAGUGGUUCAUUGUGUCCCUGCUCCGGGAGAUCAGCAGGGAGUUCCCGGGGCUGGCAGCCAGGAUUGAGGACAACGAUGGAGAGUUUCUCUUGACAGAAGCAGCUGAUUUUCUCCCAAAGUGGCUGAAUCCUGAGAACAGUGAAAACAGGGACCCUCCUUCCCACCCUUGCUGUGAAUGGGUGUCACACUGGCCAGCUUCCAGCCAUCUGGAACCUCCCCAGUGAGCCAGGGCUGUUGGGAAAUGAUGGAGAGCGGCUUCCCAAGCUCCUCUGCCAGCUCCCUCACCCCCCUGGGGAAUGAAUCCCAUCUGGGCCCACGGAUUUAUGAACAUCCAAGCAGCUCAGCAGUUCCCUGGCUGCCUCCUCCUGGAUAGCAGGGGCCCAUUCUGCUCCCUGACACCAUCCACCAGCCCAGGAGGACACUUGUCCUGAGGACAAGCUGUGUUCCCACUGAAGGCCGAGGCAAAGAAGGCGCUGAGCACCUCUGCCUUCUCCUCAUCUGCACUUACUGAGUUCCCUCCCACAUCUAAUAAACAACAGAGGUUGGCCUUACCCUUCCCUUUACCAUUAGUACAUUUGUACAAAUGUUCUUUAUUCUCCUUUACAAAAGUUGCCAAUUUAACUUCAGACAUAAUUUUGGCCUCCCUGAUUAUUUCCUGCAUACCCUAGCAGCUCCUUAAAUACUUCCUGAGAAACCUGACCCUCCUUCCAAAGCUGAUACGUCCUCCUUUUAUUCCUAAGUUCCUUCAAACCCUCAUUGCCCAUCCAGGCUGGAUGUUUGCCUCGCUGACUCCUCUUUGGGCACACAGGGACAGUCUGCUCCUGUGCCCUCAAGGUCUCUGUUUUGAAGCAUGCCCACCUUUCCUGAACUCCUUUGUUUUAAGGGCUGCUUCCCAAGGAACCUUCUGACUAAGUCAUGUUAUAGAACAUACAGUAUGCCUAUAUAACAUAUUUUAUGACAUAAUAACAUAUGCCAAAGCAAAGCCAUUUCACCCAUUGGCACCAGCUGCCUCCUCUCCCUCGCUCCCAUUUUGCCCCCUCUGAACUCCCG